UAUAACUUCGAGGCAUCACCUGACCUACCAUUGGAGGACACUGCAUGCUGUUGACAUCUUUGGACAAUGUGUUGCAUUAUCACCAUACCUCCCAUGAGCAAACAAGAUGUUAUUUCAAGAGAAUGACAAGGAACAAAGGCAACUAGAAUGAAAACAACUUGGCCAUGAGUUACAUGAAAAAUGCGCAAGUAGUCAAAUUCUUUCUUAGAUAAGGAGACCAAAACACAAUAUUCCAACUGAACUCUUAUUGGCUGCUGGUGCAGAGCAGGAUAAAAACAGGAACACAUCCACACAGUACAGGAGCAGGAUCAAGAAUAAAAUAUGUCCACACACAGUAGAAGAACCAUAGCAGGAAUAAUAAAAUACCACACUGUUCAGUCACACCAGAGUCCUAGUGCAGUAUCUAACAAUUCUUAGAUCACCUAUGCCAAUGAAAACUCUCAUUAAAGGUGUUCAAAUGAGUUAAACCCACACAACUUAUAUUAACUUGUACAAGUCUACAUACCACCCAUGAAAUGAGUAUGACCCUACUCCAGGAAGCAUGUCAGAGAAACAGGACCAAAAGAUUACAAGAUGGAAAAUGUAUUGCAAAAUAAACAGCUUUUUCUGAAGACAAGCAAUGUGUGGAUAAUACAGGACUGAAACUGCUUGUCAUCAACAGUGGAAACUGUUUUACAUGUAGUCUAAUAGCAUUUAGAGAUGAUGUCUUCUGCCUGCAAGAAUAUUCCAUUUUAUUUUGAGCUAGUGUUAAAACUACUUAGAAUUGAAAUAUCUUUUCCUGGCUAAAGUAUGUCAUCAACAGAAUCUGAUAAAUGACCAAUACUGUCAGGAAGCAGAAGUCACAAGAUGAUGCUGUCUGCUGGAUGAAGAAAAGAAGUUGAUGUUUGAAAUCUUUCUUUGUAUCAGUUUCCUCUCAGUCUUUGCAGAAAGAAGUUCUUUCAGCAUUUAGUGCUGAGGUAAUACAUUUUGCAAGAAGAGAAACUUCACAAUCAAUGGUCACAUAACUUAGAGUGAGGACUGUCUGUUGUCACAUGUGGCUAUGCACUCAGUUUUCAUUGCUUUUGUGAUGUAAUGAAUAAAGAUUUUGUUCAUUUUA
Limulus polyphemus (Atlantic horseshoe crab) is the source of this 1096-nucleotide long non-coding RNA. RefSeq lists it as uncharacterized. The record is from RefSeq and is a predicted model, not a curated record. The transcript is spliced from 4 exons. NCBI's taxonomy places the organism in Eukaryota, Metazoa, Arthropoda, Merostomata, Xiphosura, Limulidae.